UUCCCACAUUCUUGAAAGUCUGUUACUGUGGCCAUAGACACUGCCCGAGGGAAACUUGGUGGAAUGAGUGGAGAUUGGUCGGGACAUGUCUAAGGAGCCAGGUAGAAAACAACCAGAGCAUUGAAGCAGGUACCUUGCACAUGCCGUCUCCUGGCAGUCACUGCUGUAUCUCCAGUCUCUGUGCAUUUGCCUGCUCUGAACAUCUCAGAAAAAGGGAAGCAUACAACAGGUGGCUCUUCUGCCUGGCUCCAUCCGGUUAUAAGGUUCACCUUUGUAGCACGCGACAGUACUUUGCUCCUUUCCAAUAAUCAUUAUAGAGAUAUGUUACAUUUUUUUUUAUCCACUCACAAGUUGACGGACAUAGUGUUGUCUCUACUCUUUAGCUGUUAUGAGCAAUGCUGUUAUGAACCUCGAGGAACAACAUGAACGUGUGUUUUCAGUUCUCCUGGGCAUAUGAAUGGGUCACACACCACGUUUUACUUCUCAGGGGACUGACGGGUUGUUCCCAAAGCAGCUGUGCCACCUGCCAUCCACACACCAUGGAGGUCUGAAAUCUACAUCCUCACAAGCACAUGAUGUUGUGUACAGUUGUUACAAUAGCCAUGCCGAUCGGAUUGUCAUUUUUAUCAUGGAUUUGUAUGAAUGACAGAGAAGAACGCAAUUUACCAUGGCCCGGGUGGGCAGAGAGCAUGAGUAGAGAAUGUUAACCACGGAAGCCUUCCUGGAGGAACUAAUGUCUAGCAUGAUCCGGAAGAGAUCAGCCUCGCAGUGCAUGAACUAUUUGUGCCUCAUUAGUUUCCAAUAGAUUGAUUUUGCUAGGAUUGCAGAUUGACCAUCUUGAAUUGCAGCUCUUCCUCCCCCAGUGAGACACAGACCCAUGGACUUACAGCAGCCCAAGCAGCCACUGCCACAGAGAGCCCAGAGAGCUGUCUGAGACCACAAUACAAAGCACCUUCCCCCUUCCUGGAAACAAAGCAAGAUAAAAUAUGGACUUAAACCAAACAAGCGCCAUCUCUUCUCUCUGGCCUCGUUCUCUCUGUUAAGAU
RNAcentral lists this small RNA (1046 nucleotides) under Rattus norvegicus (Norway rat). Its description in RNAcentral is "uncharacterized LOC102555231". The record is from RNAcentral. Lineage: Eukaryota; Metazoa; Chordata; Mammalia; Rodentia; Muridae.